Long non-coding RNA from Orcinus orca (killer whale), 2341 nucleotides. RefSeq lists it as uncharacterized. Lineage: Eukaryota; Metazoa; Chordata; Mammalia; Artiodactyla; Delphinidae. The record is from RefSeq and is a predicted model, not a curated record. The transcript is spliced from 3 exons.
CAUCAGUUUGGUGAUAAGAACAGUAAUUCUUGUUCACUAAAUUAAUAGAUUUUAUGUAUCUCAAAAACUUAUUUCAUUCAUUUCUUGUCUUUACAGCCUUGGAGUCCAGGCAGCCAGGGGUCCAGGCAACCGGGACAGGCCAAAUCCACAGAACUUCACUACCCACUUCUCUAUGGCGUUGGUGGCCCUUGGGUCCCAGGCUUCAAUGUUUCUUUGCCACUCUUUCUGCAAAUAGUUAUUGAGUCCCUAUGAUGUUGCAAGUCACUGCACCAGGCACUGGAGAGACUUCAGUGAAUAAGACAGAUCAAGAAGCUCCUCUCGAGAUCUGGGGGAAUGUAUAGGAUUUAAAAACUGGGAGAUGGAGUGGCAAAAAAGGAAGGGGAGGAGGAAGAGGAAAAGGAGAUGGUCCAGGGAAGCCAGAGCCCCCAGCAAUAUGGCUGUCAUGGGCUAAGAGCACCUGCAUACGGGGAGAGCGCCAGUAACAGCAGCCAUGGCUCUUCCAUCCAGCAACUACUGAAUGAGAACCUAUCACGUGCCAGGCACUGUUCCAGGGUAUGGGAUACAUGUCUGAAGAAACAUAGAGACCCCUGCCCUCGUGAAGCUCACAGCCCAGUGGGUAAGCCAGAUGCUAUAAAGUCAUCGCAAUGGUGGCCUUCAGAGUGUGUUGACCACGCAACCCAGGAGUACAAAGUGUUUGAUACUGUUCCUCCUCUGUAAGUUUAUAUAUGUAUAAAUUAUAUACAUGUGCAUUUAUACUAUUCUAUAUUAUGUGCAUUUAAAUCUAUCCCCAAAUAGAAAAAUUUAAAGAAUGAAUUUGAAUAGAUACAUAGAAGUUCUAGUAUUUUUUUCCCUCUCCCCAGUUGAAUUGUAAUAGGAAUAGAUUUGGAGCAUUCACUUUGGAGAAUUCUGGACCAGCCACCCUAUGAGCUGGGAAAGUUAGAAAUUCUGAGCUCAAUCUUUACGUUAUAUUUAUUCUGAGUUGCAGCCCUCUCUUAUAAUAUCAGUACUUCAUUCAACUUUUUAAAAAAAUUGUGGCAAAAUUUACAUAACACAAAAUGUACCAUCUUAACCAUUUUUACGUGUAUAGUUCAGUGGCAUUAAGCACAUUCACACUGUUGUGCGACCAUCACCACCAUCCAUCUCUAGAACCUUUUCAUCUCCCUAGAUUGAAACUCCACAUCCAUUAAGUAUAACGCUCCAUCCCCCGGGGGCCCUGGUACUCACCAUUCUACUUUCUGCCUCCGUAAAUUUGAUGACCCUAGGUCAAUAAUUAUUUUUAAGCUCCUAUGAUGACUCAAGAGGUAGUUUGGCACGUGGGAUUCAGUGGUGAGCAAAGCAAAUGAGGUGUCCGCCCUCCAACCUCCAAUAAAGUCUGCUUUACUAACCUAACCUAGUACUGCUUUAGAUCGGUGUCUUUGGCAAGGCCAGAAGGUGGGCUGUAUCUAAGCAUGUGGCCCACUGUGGUAGACAGGGCAGGUGAGCUAAGAAGGGGUGGGAGUGGUGAGGCUGAAAUUGAGUGAGAUGUGACAGUUGACCACCUGAUAAAAGAGAAAUACCUUCCCAAGGAAUUCCUAAAAAAUUGGGGGAGAGGUGGGGCUUCCUGUGUUGUGUAGGUUGAGGUUUGUAUUUAUCUUAAUUGAAUAACACAGGAGAGGUAAUCCCAGAAGGCUGGUGGACGUGAGAACAUUCAGGUGUCAUUUACUAUCAGUAACCUUCAAAUGACUCAGGCUUCAGGGCUUGGGAGGAUCAGGUUUCCAGGAGAGAGACCCGGAGAGGGAUGCGGGCUAUCCUCCCAGGGUGAAGCUUGGCUGGGUGGCUGAAAGCCUCCCAUACUCUGCCCCUCUGCCUGCCUUUACCUUAGGAUAAAAUCAUACAUUUCCAAUUACAGGGCUGGUCAAAAAUCAAUACAAAGUUGGGAGAGAACAGAUCAUUUUUCUUACGGAAGUAACCGUUUUCAUUAAUUUUUCAUUAGUGCUGCCUUUGUUUUGCUAUCCAUCACUGGUGGAGCCCUAGCCUGCAUUUCAGCCAGUGUGCAUGUUUCUUGGAUUCAGGAGAUAGUGGUUGAUAAAACCAGCAGGUUCCUGCCAGGAUUACUGCCUGUGGAACCGGUUUACGUGACUGUUCUAAGACCAUUAUGUUGGUUAAAAUGUGCUUAAAACUAACAGGUUUCCACUCAGCAAAACUCAGUCCUAACUCUAUCGUGGACAUUCUAUCUAUAGAAUAAGGUUCAGCCUCUGUUGCAUUUAUUUUCAGGGGUGUAUUUGUCAGUCUGUUCGUGGGCACUUUCGGCAUUGAUUGAUGUGAUGGGUCCAUUUGGCUGGUGCACUUGGCUAAGGGCUGC